GACCAGCCGAGGCAGUUCCCUGCUUCAGCUCAGAAUGAGUCCGCUCUGGAGCUGAGUGCCUGACCCAAAAGGUCGCUCCUUGAGAAGGAAGUGUUAAAGGCGCAGGAGCAGUUCCGGCACGGUGGCAGCCAGAUAGGGCUGAAAAAAGAGAGAAGGCACUGUAGUUCCUCCUCGCUGAUCUGAAGCCUGCAAACAGAGAUCGUUUCAGAUAUAAAUACUUGGAGCUGCCUGGUUGCCUGGGAGGCUGUUGUAAGAGUGAAGCAUACCGAUCCCUUCUCUGAAGAACAGCUGCAAAUGAUGGCUGAGCUCAGUUAUUAUCCUGGAUAGCAUGAAAAUUAAGGAUCUCUUCCAAGUACUUCCUCUGCAUUAUAGACUUACUUUCAGCUUCUGCUUAGUCCUUUUCCCUCAUGUGACUGAAACUCCACAAAUCUCCACAGUUCUUGUGGAUCACUAUGUAUAUGUUGAGAGCCAGUAACAUCAGCGUUGGCAAUUAGCCUGAGAUCAGUGCCUGGAACAUAAUAAAUCCACCAAAGUUUCCCAUAUGCUGCCCAGAUGUCCUACAAAUAGAUUAUGAGAUACUGCUUGUUGCUCCUUAUAUGUCCCAUCAUAACCACUGAUUCUUAAUGCUAUUUUUUUUUUUUUACCAUCUAGCUAUUAAAAAUGACAGGCAGAAUUAUGCAACAGAAGAUUCGUUUGGGAAAUCUCAUUCACAGUCUGCACAUACACUCAAGGAGACAAGCCCAUUUCUUAAAUACAUCUGUAGUUUAGGAGGAACCUGUGAUAAAUCUAAACCAAGAAGAAUAUUUUGAUGAGCUGAGGCUAAUAAUGCAUCCUUGCCUCUCAUGCUCCAGCAGAAAAAGGUAUCCACAGUCAGUGAGCAUUAUAUAUAUAUAUAUAUAUAUGUGAAACAUAUAGUUUCACAGAAUGCUCAUCCCAGUGAGCAUUAUGUGAAACUAUACUUACUGUGCUGCUGCAUGUUGCCAGGUGUAAACAUUUUGGAACAUUACAAACUGUCACUCAUUUUGCUAAUGGAUAAUUUGCAGUGCCACAUUAUUAAUUACUCUUAUUAGUGAUUAAUACAACAUUCUCAUUGUAUAAGUAUGCAAUCAAGAGGCAAUAAGUUGAGGAGAUGUGUGUCUCUACUGGCAUGAUAAAUAUUUACAUGCUUUCUGUCCUGUUUCACCAAUGUGAGAUGGCUUUCUUUCAGUCCUUUCUGUGACUAUCUGGGUAAAAGGUUUAAAACAAGUUACCACCAGCUAUGUUAGUCUAAAUACAGGAACAGCUGCUUUCUGUGUAUUCAGUUUUCCAUAUGGAGCUACAGUAGAACACCACAGUGCCUUUAUGAAUGCUUUGCCAGACAAGGUGUUAAAUAUCUGAUUUCUCACUCAGGGAUGCUGAGCACACUCACAUGCUAUGAAAAUGAACCACUUCUCAGCUUAGGGCUGGAAAUCUUAAAAAAAACUGUUUUGAACAGGGCAUUUUCACAACCAUGUUGUCUAGCUGUCCUGUCAGCAUAGGCAGGGAGGUAAUACAGAUGGUGGAAGCCGUAGGCCAGCUCUCUGCUACCAAAGGCAGACACAUCUGAAGCAUUCCUCCCAAGCCUGCCAAGGCAAAGACCUUCAAGCAAAAGGCCGUAUUUUAUGUUUCUUUCUUUCUUUCUUUUUAAUUUAAAUUUUGGAAGGUGUUGCUUUGUUUCUGAAUUCUCUGUGGGUCUCUUUAUUCUUGACCAGUGGUUCUGGAGACUGCUUGGCAUUUGUGACUCACAGUGUGAACAUCUGCCUCCUCACAUUCCCAGGGGCAUUGGGAAAAUUGGAGCCGUUAUGUACUAGCUCUAUGUUUCCCCACAAUUUAGGGCCAAGAGAGAUUAUUAUAUUGCCUAGUCUGAUGUCCUGUGUGCCAGUGGCUAUUAGUUGUUGUAGAUGUACCUCAAGGCUGAGACAGUUACUUUCAUUAGCCCGUGGUGUUUUAUUCCUUGAGAAACCAAACUGCUGUGUGUCUGAAGCAGUAUUCAAGACUCCUGCAAUUCUUGAGAACUGAUUGGUCCUUAUAUGCCCAGAUAAUCACAGAGGCACAGAGACAAUCUUUGCAAAAAUUCGCCAUCCUUGCCAAUUUGAUCUAGAAAAUUCUCUACUCCUCUUGGACUUGACUAAAUUCAGACCCGGGCAUCAGAUGUCUAAGAUCAUUUUCUGCAUUAGUCUACUCUCUUCCUGGCUACAGCAAAAUGAAUAAUCCAUGCUUCAGGGGAAUGGAAAAACUUCUACUGCAGAAUAUAUCAGACCAAAUAUCCUCUGGGAAGAAUGGGAAGGGAUUCUUCCUUACCUCUGUAGGCAGCCAACUGGAGCCCUUGAGUACAGAAUUUGAUUAUACUCAUUAGCUUAAUGCCAACCUGCAAAUGUCUGAGUGGGAAGGGUGUAAUUCAAGCCAUCUUGUUUCAACCAUAAUGGAAGAAGUUGCACAUAUGCGACAUUCUAAUGGAUGUAGGGCUUGAGGGAUCACCAGGGAAUCUUGCCUGACGUGACCCUCCUUUCCUCCUUAUUUGAGGCUCCCUUGGCCAUUAGAAGUUCUCCCAGAAGCUGAAGUAAAGCCAAUAUUUAAGAAAGAAAGACAGUUUUUAGGACAGCAUCAAGCAAUGAGCUAAUGAAUUAUUGACAAUCUAAGGAUUUUCUGUUAUAUAAACCAGAAGCUCUAUUCCUUAAUACAGAGCAGCUCCUCACUGUGUAGAAAGGGGAGUAUGUGCAAAGCUGGCAAGAUCGUUCAAUAUGACAGAACUUGUCAAAUACAAGAAACCAGGAGCUACUGGUAUGUCUUGAAGAGAUCAUUUCAUAUCCAAACCUCCAAUCCUUGUAAGUGCAGCAUCAGGAAGCAAGAUGGACUUCAGAACAAUGCAUAUUGCUACCAGAAGUACCAAUGGAAAUUACAGGAUGAAAAGGAUUUGUGGUGGCCCUCUGCAAAGAUCAUUUCUCUCCAUUAUUCUUCAUGGGACAAAACCUCGGCUUCUCUAAAUGCAGUGGUGGUGCCCAUGGGCUGAGAGGAGCACGAAGUUUGUUGACAUCACCGACCUGCAGAGACAGCAGAAGCGGAUACCCAAUUUAGGAACAUGUCUACAGUGUGAACACUGGGGUUUGUGUUGCUUUUAGAAUUCCCACGAUGCACCAUUUCACGCUUUUUGCUGCUGUUACGGCUCGGUGCAGAUUAUUGCUCUGGGCCCUGUCUGUGUCUUCCUAUUGAGCACAGAGUCAUGUCAAGGAGAACGUCCCACUGACAUAUCUAUUUGCACUGUCCUCUACAAAAAUUUACCAUGGCCCAUGAACAGAAAAAAUACUCUGAACUCUUACACACAUACUGCUUAAGAUAAGGCAAUUAAAUGAUUUAGUUCUUGGAUGUAUCUACUUUUAGCAUAUGGAUUUCAUACGCUGUUGGCUAUGAAAAGAAUGAACACUCCAGUAAAAGGAAUAUUAGUUAAUGGAUAAGAAGAAGGUCACUCAAAUUAUUUCAGCUCUGGAAGAAGAGUUGGUUUUGCACAAGGUUGUGAAUAUCUGGAAAGGACUGGUAAUACCAGAUCAUCCUUUGAUUUAGCCAUUUAAAUAUUCUGUUAAUGUUCAUAAAUCUUUAAGGAUCUGAUCCUGUGAAGUCAUAUUUGCAUGAAUAAGCCUUAUUCACAAACAGUCUCAGUGACUUAUGUUGGUUCAUUUGCGUCAGAAAAAAAUAAUCGGGAUGGUAGUACUGGGUCCUCUUAUAUUUAUAAAUUGUGAUCAAGAUUAUUUUAUGAGGUAAACUUAAGAACCAUCUGGCAUCACCUAUCAUUUCCUGCUGCUUAAUUUCAAUAGCUAUGUGUAGAAGUCAGUGAGUAUUAGCAAUUUCUUUCUUAUCUGAGGGCAGCCAAAUGACCUUCUCCAUUAGACUUAUAUUCCUUCCUAAGAGAGGAUUACUCCUUUGACUUCUAUUUAUCAUAUGAAAUGGAUGUGUGAGACAAUAAGCCUAUGAGAAAUCCACUAGUGGGGCUGCUCAUGGGACAUGUUCUCGAGAGUGAAGUUUCUUCCACUAAGAAUAAUAGCACAUUCUUCCUACUACACACACAGCCAACUGAGGGGGAGCACAACAUCAGCUGUAUUUCAGUUCUCACAAAUCUCUGACAUUUUUAACAGCAAGUAGCUGUGCAUCACUUUACAGUAAUCUUCCCCAGAAAAAAUUACUUUCUUUUCCUUUACAGAGAUAUACUAAACACCCAUUAAUUCCAGCUGAAGUUACAGAUGCUUAGCUGCUCUCAGGAGCGAGUCUUUGAAUACAAACCUGCAAACCAGCUACUCGCAUGCAGCUGGUCAGAAAACUUGUUUUAAGAACUGCAGAACAGAGAUUUCAUCAACAAGAAUAAAUAUUUCUGUCCUUGGGGAUGUUCUUUUUUCUUAGUACGAGGUAUCACGCACAAGUCAACAGGAUGAAUAACACCAUGGGUAAUGUGGCAAGUAAAGUCAUGCAAGCUGGGAUCUGUCUUCCCUUAUACUGUUACAAUAAUUAUAUAAAUGAUUCAGUCCACAAAAUGCUUCUUGAGAUUCAACUUUAAAGGGAAUUUACCACAACAGAGAGAUGGGAUUUUUAUCUAAUCAAAGAAUUACUUCUUGCUAUUUACCCAAAUGAAAAGAUCAGCCAAUCUUUUUCAUUUAAAAAAUACUUUUGCAGCAAGUCACUCCAAGGAGAUUUUUGGUGCCUCUGAUAUGAAUACUGUACUGUGGGUAAGGACUAUUAAGUGCAUCCACCUCGGGUGCUGUACCCUGCUGUCUUAUGCCUAUAUUCUGAGCAGUAAUAAUAUAAACACAAGUUGAAUUUGGAAAAAAAUGGCUCCUGCAUUAUAGAUUUGGGGUUCUCAGCAACUAUCCAAAUGAAUGUCUUAAAAUGAAUCUAAGUCAGCUUCAGUCAAAGGAAGAAAAAUCUCAGAGCCUGAGAAUCUCAUUGUGUCCCAUUAAGAAUCUCAUUGCAUGUCCCUUUGUAAACAAUACAGGGCUGGCAGCCUGGUCAUGGCUCCUCCUGGUGCUGCCUUUGGGGCACCACCCAACCUAUUGUCAGCAGGAAUGUGGGCUCAUGUACUGAGUUUUUGUGUUUUGUGUGAUUGUGUCCUCAAAGCUGAGUUGAGUCGGUCAGAAAAUGAGAGGAACAUGUAAAAAACUGACAAAAGUGAUUUUUAUCAACUUCUGUCAUAUUUGCUAUUUUCUCUUAUAUGAAUAAGAAUGCAAAAUGAUGGCCAUGUAUAAAAAUGUUUAUGAGCCAAUUUGCAGAUAUUCCUGAGAGCAAAGAAGGCAGAGUUUGGUACAAUGCAAAGGUCUGGUCCUACAUUAUCCUGUCAAUAUGAUUCAGACAAAUUAUUCAGGGGAGUAUUUACUUGGUCACAGGUUCUCAGGAUUGAGUCUUAAUGAUGGAGAAUGGCAUUUAGCAGCUUAUCUAUAGUGUAUUUUACCUUCUUACUCCUGAAAUAGACCAUCUAUCCAUGGCCAUAAUGAUUGUCCUUCUGACCCAGCAGUUUCUCUUUAAAAUGGCCUACAUGAAGAUAGCACGGGUUUGUUUAGUUAGAGGCAAAAAACACUACUGAGGAAAUUCAAGCUGAUUCCUUUUCUGUUGUGUAUAGCAUUGAAGAAGACUUUCACCUUAAAGCAAAUAAACCAGAUACAAAAUGAA
Molecule: long non-coding RNA, 5667 nt
Organism: Gallus gallus (chicken)
Lineage: Eukaryota; Metazoa; Chordata; Aves; Galliformes; Phasianidae
Exons: 6
Source: RefSeq, a predicted model, not a curated record